This 460-nucleotide ribosomal RNA is filed under the name uncultured bacterium. RNAcentral describes it as "partial 16S ribosomal RNA". It matches the Rfam family "Bacterial small subunit ribosomal RNA", at positions 338 to 795 of the family's 1533-position model. The record is from RNAcentral.
CCUACGGGAGGCAGCAGUGAGGAAUAUUGGUCAAUGGACGAGAGUCUGAACCAGCCAAGUAGCGUGAAGGAUGACUGCCCUAUGGGUUGUAAACUUCUUUUAUCUGGGAAUAAACUGUUCCACGUGUGGGAUUUUGUAUGUACCAUAUGAAUAAGGAUCGGCUAACUCCGUGCCAGCAGCCGCGGUAAUACGGAGGAUCCGAGCGUUAUCCGGAUUUAUUGGGUUUAAAGGGUGCGUAGGUGGAUUGUUAAGUCAGUUGUGAAAGUUGGCGGCUCAACCGCAAAAUUGCAGUUGAAACUGGGAGUCUUGAGUACAGUAGAGGUGGGCGGAAUGCGUGGUGUAGCGGUGAAAUGCUUAGAUAUCACGAAGAACUCCGAUUGCGAAGGCAGCUCACUGGACUGCAACUGACACUGAGGCUCGAAAGUGUGGGUAUCAAACAGGAUUAGAUACCCUGGUAGUC